This 497-nucleotide ribosomal RNA is filed under the name uncultured bacterium. RNAcentral describes it as "partial 16S ribosomal RNA". It matches the Rfam family "Bacterial small subunit ribosomal RNA", at positions 28 to 507 of the family's 1533-position model. The record is from RNAcentral.
GAUGAACGCUGGCGGCGUGCCUAAUACAUGCAAGUCGAGCGAACAGACGAGGAGCUUGCUCCUCUGACGUUAGCGGCGGACGGGUGAGUAACACGUGGAUAACCUACCUAUAAGACUGGGAUAACUUCGGGAAACCGGAUCUAAUACCGGAUAACAUGUUGAACCGCUGGGUUUAACAGUGAAAGACGGUCUUGCUGUCACUUAUAGAUGGAUCCGCGCCGCAUUAGCUAGUUGGUAAGGUAACGGCUUACCAAGGCAACGAUGCGUAGCCGACCUGAGAGGGUGAUCGGCCACACUGGAACUGAGACACGGUCCAGACUCCUACGGGAGGCAGCAGUAGGGAAUCUUCCGCAAUGGGCGAAAGCCUGACGGAGCAACGCCGCGUGAGUGAAGAAGGUCUUCGGAUCGUAAAACUCUGUUAUUAGGGAAGAACAACUGUGUAAGUAACUAUGCACGUCUUGACGGUACCUAAUCAGAAAGCCACGGCUAACUACGUG